This 430-nucleotide ribosomal RNA is filed under the name uncultured prokaryote. Its description in RNAcentral is "bacterial SSU rRNA". It matches the Rfam family "Bacterial small subunit ribosomal RNA", at positions 355 to 776 of the family's 1533-position model. The record is from RNAcentral. RNAcentral also lists the same sequence under 1 other name.
UGGGGAAUAUUGCGCAAUGGGGGAAACCCUGACGCAGCGACGCCGCGUGAGCGAUGAAGGCUUUCGGGUUGUAAAGCUCUGUUCUAAGGGACGAAGUCCUUAUCUGUAAAUAAUGGGUAGGGGUGACGGUACCUUAGGAGAAAGCCCCGGCUAACUACGUGCCAGCAGCCGCGGUAAUACGUAGGGGGCGAGCGUUGUCCGGAAUUACUGGGCGUAAAGAGCGUGUAGGCGGGUAUUUAAGUCAGGUGUGAAAGACCGGGGCUCAACUCCGGGGUUGCACUUGAAACUGGGUAUCUUGAGGGCAGGAGAGGAAAGCGGAAUUCCUGGUGUAGCGGUGAAAUGCGUAGAUAUCAGGAGGAACACCGGUGGCGAAGGCGGCUUUCUGGACUGACCCUGACGCUGAGACGCGAAAGCGUGGGGAGCAAACAGG